Molecule: long non-coding RNA, 3427 nt
Organism: Leopardus geoffroyi (Geoffroy's cat)
Lineage: Eukaryota; Metazoa; Chordata; Mammalia; Carnivora; Felidae
Exons: 2
Source: RefSeq, a predicted model, not a curated record
GUGCUCUUCCAAUCUGGUUGAGAAAAAUGGUGAUGCCUUAACCUGUUCUAGGGAACAGAGGAGGAGAGACAGAUUUGUUGGGGAGAAAUUUGUUGGUAAAUUUGGUUUUUUACCAAGUUGAGCAUAGGGCACCAUGCACUUCUGUAAUUUUAGCAGGCAUUUGGAAAUAGGGGCCCAGGCCUCUGGAGAAGUAAAGAAAUGCAAGUUUGAGCCAGCUGCCUAAAGGUAAUAAUUGAAGAUGGAAAGUAACUUAUCACAAAAAGGUGAGAGAAUAGAACACAGCUAAAGACCAUUUGAGAGGCUCUGAAAUAUUGUGGAGGAAUUUACUGAUCCAAUUUGAAGUCAGGAAGGAUUGAGUGAAGGUUGAAUAAUCAACAUUUAUUAAAUGUUGUUAGAUGCUAAGAACCUUACUUACAUUGCUUUGGUGUCCUUUUUGGGUUACAGUAAUUUAAAUUUAAUGGCAUUCAACAUUUGCUGGAAAUAGGUGAAAAUCUUAGGAGUAGGAAAGAUAUGUGUUUGGAUAAAGACGAAAGUCAGAUGUCAGAAAAAAUCAUGUUCGGCUAAAGGUAGGCUAUUUUCCUGGGUGUGUCUGUGGGUUGCAACUCCAUUCAAUGGCAGUGGAUGUUACAUAUAAUGGAAGGUGUGGAUAUCCACAACGUGAUGCUUGCCCUAGGCUUGCGUUAUAGCAGAACUGCAUCACUAGAAUGAUGGAUUAUUCAUCCAAGCUUUUUAAACAUUUUUGACAUACCUAUGUACCAGGUACUGGAAAGGUUCAUUUCUCACAAUGUUUAUGGCAACUCUAAAGUGUUUUCCAAAAUGUAGCCUGCAAAGUACAAGUCCAAAGAAGUAAACAUUCCAUGAAAAAAAUUUUUUAAUGAGGUAAGAAAACUGCUCAUUGUUAAAAAAAUUUAUAUUUAAUAUUUGCAUAUUAAGGACUAAAAUGUCUUAUUGAUAUUUGUUUAAGUUUUUUUCCCCAGACUGAUUUGACCAUGGACCAUUUAUCUUUCCAUAUAGCAGCACCAAUCAUCCUUUUGCACAUUUUGGGAAAUGUUGCUACUAUGGAUUUUGCCAGAAUAUUUCUAUGUUCUAGCAAAGUAGACAUCCUAAAGUUGUGUGUGGCUUAGGAGUUUUAUUUUGGCCGACUUCAUGCAUUCAGUUCAGCACAGAGCUGUGUGUUGAUGGUGUUUAUACAUUUCAGCAAGUUUCCUUCACGUUUCUCCUUGGAACAGAUGUAAAUAACGGGUCACCCAGGCCUUAUGGAAGUAGAAAAAGUUCUGUGGAGUGAGUUAGAGUGGGUAGGAUGAUAUCAUUUGAAGAAGAUGAUUGGGAGAGUCUGUUUAGGGGUAUAAUGGUUAGAGCAAUAGUUCUAGAAUGAGGUAAACCUAGAUUUGAAUCUUGGUCCUGCCCCGAAGCUGUAUGACUCUAGGCAAGUGAUCUAACUUCCCUGGGCCUCAGUUUCCUUAUCUGUGGAAAGGAGUUUCUGGUAUAUAACUCAUUAGAGGUGUUUUCAGGAUUAAGUGUUCAGUCAAAUGUUUUACCAUAGUGUCCAUGGAAAACUUCUAAAUGGUAAGUUAAUAAUAAGGAACAGCUUUUGCUGAUUGCCUAAGAAAAUAUUUGAAAAUAAAAGUAAAUGUGAACCUGUUGUCUUUCCUGGAUGUACAAUAAAGAUUUAAUAAAGUUCUAAUUUCCUUCCACCUUACAUCUAUUUUCCUCCUUUAUCAGGGUUCCGGCUAGAAGCAUUUCUUCUUUCCCUUCUCUGUUGUCCUUUAUCCCUUAUGUCCUUCCCCCUUCCCUGCCCAACUGUGGAUUGUAUGUGAAUUCCAUUUCCAACUCUAAUUUUUCCUAAUAUGGCAAAUUUUUCUUCAUAGAAACCUUUUCUAGAUUGUGUUAAACAUUUGUGAUAUUUUCAGAAAAGAUAUUUAAUUUUUUCUGCAGAAUUAACCUAUGCAUAAAUUAUGCAAAUACUGGAAGCUUUACCUCCUUUCGCUUGAAUGAUUUUGGUUAAUGAACUAACAGUUGUUUUUAGGUUUUGAGAAGGCCAUGAAUUUUUCAGGUAAGAAAAAAAUCCUAUUUGUCCAUUCAUUUACUUCAUUCUAAUGGCAUUACCAGGAGAUUCUGUAAUAUUCUUUGCUCAAAGUCUGACCCUCUGUAAAUGUCCUGAAAAAAUACUUGGCCUAUGUGCUUAAAAAUGUUCCUGCAUCAUUGAAAUAGCAAAAAUUGAAAAUUACUCAGUGUUUACCAGUAGGGGACUGAUUAAAUUGAUAUGUAAGAAUGGACAGCUGUUAAAAAUAAGUAUGUAGCAUGCAUGUGGAAUCAGCAAAACCCUGGGAAACUUUACAGGUUAAUUGGCCUGUUAUUUUCAACAAAUUGUAAGGAAAAGAAGGGGAUGAAGGGAGAACUUCUAGAUUAAAAGACUUGAAAAAUAUAUCCAUUUAAAAAAAUAGAUGAUGUUUUUGGAUUUACACUUUGUGUUUACUGUACAAAUCAGGAUAGUUAUAUUUUGAUACAGAGGAAGAGGGCUGUGAUGGGAAGGGGGCAGGUGGAGGGCCAAGGGCUUUUGGGCUGACUGGACAGCAUUGGGCUUGGGAUUUGAUUUUUACCCCAAUUACAAACUAAUAGUUAGCCUUUACUACAUGGAUGGUGGCAGAGGAUAUGAAACUCUUGUUAGUGGCACUUCAAGCAGCCUUGAGCUUGAUGUUUGUAUUGGUUUUCCUUGCUCCCCAAAUUCCACAGGGUGACAUAGAAGGCCCAGAAGAAUGCCUGCAUGUGCAGUGGGUUGCAUUACAGAACAAUAAAAUUGAAUUUGGGGAACCUGCUGGUUUGUAGCAAGCUGUAAGCAAGCCUGCUCUCCUGUCCCAGAGGGAAACAUUACCCUUUCUUUAAAGUUGCUCACAGCAAAUACAACCCUGAAAAUGACCAGGCAAAGAGAAUGGUCAGGCCCUUGGGUUCACGACCUAAGCAUUAAACUGCAAGGAAGCCCCAGGGCCCAUGGCAGAUAGCGUCUUCUAACAGCCAAAUUGGAAAUAGGGUCAUGGCAGACAUAAAUAGUUAAGAUGAGGUCAUACAGGAGGAGAGAUAACUGGAGCAAUCCAAAAUGACUCUCGUCCUUAUAUAGGGAAAAUUUGGAGACAAGCAUCCUGGGAGAAGUGAUGUGAAGAUUGUAAUUAGGCUGCUUCAAACCAAGAACUAUCAGAAGCUAAGAGAGAGAGGCCCGGAACAGAUCCUUCCCCUAGCCACCUUUAGGGGGAGUGUGGUCCUCCCGCUGACACCUCCAUCUUGGGCUUCUAGCCUCCAGAACUCUGAGACAGUAACUUGCUGUUGUUUAAGCCACUUAGCUUGUGGUACUUUGAGUUGACAGCCCUAGCAAAUGAAUGCAUUUCCCAUGGUACAUUUGUCAAAAUUAAGAACAUUGGUAUGUUACUAUUAA